UCUUUCUCUAGUUCCCUCCCUCCUGCUCCAAUCUUCAGUUCAGCUAGAGAAAGAGAGGGAGUGAGAGAGGGAAAGAAAGAAAAAGAAAGAAAGAGUGAGCGGAAUAAUAGUGAGCGACGAGGGGAAUUUCAGUGCUUGGAAACUUUUCUUUCCACUGAAACAGAGAAAAGAUCACAGGCGCUAGCGGGCCUCUUGCGCUAACUGGUGUCAGCUGUUGCAGGAAAUGAAGGGAUCACUUCUAUCCCAGUCUUUCUCUCCCGCUCUCUCUCUCUCUCUCUCUCUCUCUCUGAGCCUGAUUUUUCAUGUGAUUCGUAUCCUGCUAAACACAGCAGAGAGAAUGGGCCGCUCUGACAGAGAGAUGAAUGGGACUCAGAUGAUGAGGGUGAGAUACAGCCGUUUCACAGCUAUUCAUUUUCGAUGCUUUUUGACUCCGUAGAUCUGAUGUUCUGCCUUUUUUUCUGCCUCGGGAUGGAAUACGCACCCGUCGCACAUGUGACACAGGGCGUGUGGAGGACUGCAGCACCCGAGGCAUGGUCAGUCGCUGCCGCCAGCUCGGUGAGUUCACUCCCCGUCUCUCAGUGCGUGUGUGUGAUUUAUACAAGAGUGACAGUAUUGCUCUGUUCUCGUGGUUCUAUCGUGUCUUUUUCGUCCGUUUUAUACUCUAAAACCUUAUUGCGGAUAUGCGAAUGUCUCUUCCACAGCAG
Molecule: long non-coding RNA, 704 nt
Filed under: Sinocyclocheilus grahami
Lineage: Eukaryota; Metazoa; Chordata; Actinopteri; Cypriniformes; Cyprinidae
Description: lncRNA (ENSSGRG00000009215.1)
Source: RNAcentral